CAAUGUUCUGAUUGAAUGGUGCAAUGUACGACAAUAUUUCUCUAUGACAAAACGAUUGUCCCUCGGAUAUGGAAUGCUGGCAAUCUACAAAUAUCUUCAAUUAUUUGGUCGGCUCUUAUUCAAUUGACUAAGGGAUCCACAUCCUGAAAGAAAAAUAAUGAGUCAACAAUUCAUCCGACGACUAUGUAAUUUGACGACAAAUACAAGCUUUGGCUCAAGCCCCAAGGGGCCAAAACAGAAAUAUACCAAUCUCCAGAUCAAGAUGAGUCCCAAGAGGACUAAAAUGCCGACUCGACU
RNAcentral lists this long non-coding RNA (297 nucleotides) under Elaeis guineensis (African oil palm). Its description in RNAcentral is "long non-coding RNA (EGUI_LNC015344)". Lineage: Eukaryota; Viridiplantae; Streptophyta; Magnoliopsida; Arecales; Arecaceae. The record is from RNAcentral.